Molecule: ribosomal RNA, 189 nt
Filed under: uncultured bacterium
Lineage: Bacteria
Description: partial 16S ribosomal RNA
Rfam family: Bacterial small subunit ribosomal RNA
Source: RNAcentral
CCUACGGGAGGCAGCAGUGAGGAAUAUUGGUCAAUGGACGUGAGUCUGAACCAGCCAAGUAGCGUGCAGGACGACGGCCCUAUGGGUUGUAAACUGCUUUUAUGCGGGGAUAAAGUGCGGCACGUGUGCCGUUUUGUAGGUACCGCAUGAAUAAGGACCGGCUAAUUCCGUGCCAGCAGCCGCGGUAAU